GCUGAUCCUGCUGGAGGAUACUGCUAUCGAAAUCCGACUUAGACAAGCAAGUUUUGGAGACACAACUACGGGUGUUUCUGGCGAACGGCUCAGUAACACGUGGAUAAUCUAACCCUGAGAGGGGCCAAACCCGGGAAACUGGGCAUGAUACCCCAUAGGCAACUGAUACUGGAAGGUUCAAUUGUCAAAAUGCAUUACAAUCCAUGUUUUGUAUUGCGCUCAAGGAUGAGUCUGCGGUGGAUUAGGCUGUUGGCGGGGUAAUGGCCCACCAAACCUUUGAUCCAUACGGGCCUUGGAAGAGGUAGCCCGGAGAAGGACACUGAGAUAAGGGUCCUAGCCCUACGGGGUGCAGCAGUCGCGGAAACUUUACAAUGCGCGAAAGCGUGAUAAGGGGAUUUCGAGUGCAAGCUCUGCUUGCUUUUGCCAAGCGUAAAAAACUUGGCGAAUAAGUGGAGGGUAAGAUACGUGCCAGCCGCCGCGGUAAUACGUACUCCACAAGUGGUAUCCGCUGAUAUUGGGCCUAAAAAGUCUGUAGCCUGUUCGAAAAGUCUUCGGUGAAAUCCAAUUGCUCAACAAUUGGAAUGGCCAAAGAUACUCUCGAACUCGAGACCGGGAGAGGUUAAGGGAAUUUCCGGAGUAGCGGUGAAAUGUUAUGAUCCCGGAAAGACCACCAGUAGCGAAGGCGCUUAACCAGAACGGGUCUGACGGUGAGAGACGAAAGCUGGGGGAGCGACCCGGAUUAGAUACCCGGUUAGUCCCAGCCGUAAACGAUGUGGACUAGGUGUCCCAUCACCUUCGAGGUGCUGGGGUGCCGAAGCGAAGGCAUUAAGUCCACUGCCAGGGAAGUACACUCGCAAGGGUGAAACUUAAUGGAAUUGGCGGGAGCUCACUACAAGGGGUGGAUGCUGCGGUUCAAUUGGAUAAAACCCCAGAUAAUCUUACCAGGGCCGACAGCAGAAUGAUGGACAGUCUGAAGGGCUUUCCUGACGCGCUGAGAGGUGUUGUAUGGUCAUCGUCAGCUCGUACUGUGAAGCGUCCUGUUAACUCAGGCAACGGGCGAGACCCACACUCAUAGUUGCAACUUCAAGAAUUUCUUGGGGGCACUCUAUGGGAACUGCAACAGCAAUGUUGAGGAAGGAGUGGGCUACGGUAGAUCUGUAUGGCCCGAAUGCCCUGGGCAACACGCGGCAUACAAUGGCUAAGACAAAGGGUCACGACGCCGAAAGGCGAAGUUAAUCCCCUAAACUUAGUCUCAGUCCAGAUCGGGGGUUGUAACUCACCCUCGUGAAUGCCUGGAAUCCCCAGUAAUCGCAGUUCAUUAUACUGCGGUGAAUAAGUCCCUGAGCUUUGCACACACCGCCCAUCAAGCCAGUUGAGUAGAGUUUAGAUGAGGUACCCUCCUUAAGGGCGACGAUUCUGAGUUCUGCGAGACGGGC
This 1436-nucleotide ribosomal RNA is filed under the name metagenome. RNAcentral describes it as "bacterial SSU rRNA". It matches the Rfam family "Archaeal small subunit ribosomal RNA". The record is from RNAcentral.